AUCCGGUAGACCAGUCCUAAGUAGGACGAAAUGCGCAUCCUGGAU
This 45-nucleotide non-coding RNA is filed under the name Trichobilharzia regenti. Lineage: Eukaryota; Metazoa; Platyhelminthes; Trematoda; Strigeidida; Schistosomatidae. The record is from RNAcentral.